CGAUGGGGAAGUAGUACUUGUACUAUGGUAACCAUGGCGGACGGGUGAGUAACGCGUAAAGAACUUACCUUUAGGACAGGGAUAACAGAGGGAAACUUCUGAUAAGACUUGAUAUAAUUAUGUAGUUGCAUGACUGUAUAAUGAAAAGGGAUGCCUAGAGAGAGCUUUGCGUCCUAUUAGUUAGUUGGUGUGGUAAAGGCAUACCAAGGCGAUGAUAGGUAGCCGGCCUGAGAGGGUGGACGGCCACAAGGGGACUGAGAUACGGCCCUUACUCUUACGGGAGGCAGCAGUGGGGAAUAUUGGACAAUGGAGGAGACUCUGAUCCAGCAAUUCUGUGUGCACGAAGAAGGUUUUCGGAUUGUAAAGUGCUUUCAACAGGGAAGAAGAAAGUGACGGUACCUGUAGAAGAAGCGACGGCUAAAUACGUGCCAGCAGCCGCGGUAAUACGUAUGUCGCGAGCGUUAUCCGGAAUUAUUGGGCAUAAAGGGCAUCUAGGCGGCAUAGCAAGUCAGGGGUGAAAACUUGUGGCUCAACCAUAAGCUUGCCUUUGAAACUGUGAUGCUAGAGUAUUGGAAAGGUGGGCCGGAACUACACCGAGUAGAGGUGAAAUUCGUAGAUAUGUGUAGGAAUGCCCGAUGAUGAAGAUAGCUCACUGGACGAUAACUGACGCUGAAGUGCGAGAAGCUA
This 687-nucleotide ribosomal RNA is filed under the name Leptotrichia sp. cp05.18. Its description in RNAcentral is "bacterial SSU rRNA". It matches the Rfam family "Bacterial small subunit ribosomal RNA", at positions 63 to 763 of the family's 1533-position model. The record is from RNAcentral. Lineage: Bacteria; Fusobacteriati; Fusobacteriota; Fusobacteriia; Fusobacteriales; Leptotrichiaceae.